GAUGAACGCUGGCGGCGUGCCUAAUACAUGCAAGUCGAGCGAACAGACGAGGAGCUUGCUCCUCUGACGUUAGCGGCGGACGGGUGAGUAACACGUGGAUAACCUACCUAUAAGACUGGGAUAACUUCGGGAAACCGGAGCUAAUACCGGAUAAUAUAUUGAACCGCAUGGUUCAAUAGUGAAGGACGGUUUUGCUGUCACUUAUAGAUGGAUCCGCGCCGCAUUAGCUAGUUGGUAAGGUAACGGCUUACCAAGGCAACGAUGCGUAGCCGACCUGAGAGGGUGAUCGGCCACACUGGAACUGAGGCACGGUCCAGACUCCUACGGGAGGCAGCAGUAGGGAAUCUUCCGCAAUGGGCGAAAGCCUGACGGAGCAACGCCGCGUGAGUGAUGAAGGUCUUCGGAUCGUAAAACUCUGUUAUUAGGGAAGAACAAAUGUGUAAGUAACUAUGCACGUCUUGACGGUACCUAAUCAGAAAGCCACGGCUAACUACGUG
This 497-nucleotide ribosomal RNA is filed under the name uncultured bacterium. RNAcentral's name for it is "partial 16S ribosomal RNA". It matches the Rfam family "Bacterial small subunit ribosomal RNA", at positions 28 to 507 of the family's 1533-position model. The record is from RNAcentral.